RNAcentral lists this unclassified non-coding RNA (253 nucleotides) under uncultured Bacteroidota bacterium. RNAcentral's name for it is "uncultured Bacteroidetes bacterium contains 16S-23S intergenic spacer region". It matches the Rfam family "Bacterial small subunit ribosomal RNA", at positions 524 to 776 of the family's 1533-position model. Lineage: Bacteria; Pseudomonadati; Bacteroidota. The record is from RNAcentral.
UACGGAGGGUGCAAGCGUUGUCCGGAAUCACUGGGCGUAAAGGGUGCGUAGGCGGGAGCCUAAGUCUGGGGUGAAAUCUUGCCGCUUAACGGUAAAAUGGCCAUAGAUACUGGGUUUCUUGAGUACAGGAGGGGUCGGUGGAAUUCGUAGUGUAGCGGUGAAAUGCAUAGAUAUUACGAAGAACAUCAGUGGCGAAGGCGGCCGACUGGACUGUAACUGACGCUGAGGCACGAAAGCGUGGGGAGCGAACAGG